UGGGGAAUUUUGGACAAUGGGCGAAAGCCUGAUCCAGCAAUGCCGCGUGUGUGAAGAAGGCCUUCGGGUUGUAAAGCACUUUUGUCCGGAAAGAAAUCCUUGGCUCUAAUACAGUCGGGGGAUGACGGUACCGGAAGAAUAAGCACCGGCUAACUACGUGCCAGCAGCCGCGGUAAUACGUAGGGUGCAAGCGUUAAUCGGAAUUACUGGGCGUAAGCGUGCGCAGGCGGUUUGCUAAGACCGAUGUGAAAUCCCCGGGCUCAACUGGGAACUGCAUUGGUGACUGGCAGGCUAGAGUAUGGCAGAGGGGGGUAAAUUCCACGUGUAGCAGUGAAAUGCGUAGAGAUGUGGAGGAAUACCGAUGGCGAAGGCAGCCCCCUGGGCCAAUACUGACGCUCAUGCACGAAAGCGUGGGGAGCAAACAGGAUUNGAUACCCUGGUAGUCCACGCCCUAAACGAUGUCAACUAGUUGUUGGGGAUUCAUUUCCUUAGUAACGUAGCUAACGCGUGAAGUUGACCGCCUGGGGAGUACGUCGCAAGAUUAAAACUCAAAUGAAUUGNCGGGGUC
RNAcentral lists this ribosomal RNA (568 nucleotides) under uncultured bacterium. RNAcentral's name for it is "partial 16S ribosomal RNA". It matches the Rfam family "Bacterial small subunit ribosomal RNA", at positions 355 to 920 of the family's 1533-position model. The record is from RNAcentral.